UAAAGAUUUUAAGGGCGUACGGUGGAUGCCUUGGCGAUAUCAGCCGAAGAAGGACGCGGUAAGCUGCGAUAAGCUACGGAGAGGUGCAAGCAACCUGUGACCCGUAGAUUUCCGAAUGGGGGAACCCGGCAGUGGUUAUGCACUGUCACCCAUAGCUUAGACUAUGAGGAGGGCACCUGGGGAACUGAAACAUCUAAUUACCCAGAGGAACAGUAAUCAAACGAGAUUUUCUUAGUAGCGGCGAGCGAACGGGAAAGAGGCCAAACCGGAGCGGGCAACCGCACCGGGGUUGAGGACAGUCAUCAAGUGUAAAUGAGGUAGAAGAAUCGAGCUGGAAAGCUCAGCCGCAGAAGGUGAAAGCCCUGUAAUCGAAACCUUGCAUACAUGGGACUGUAUCCAGAGUACCACGAGACACGUGAAACCUUGUGGGAAGCAGGGGGGACCACCCUCCAAGCCAAAAUACUGAUAUCGACCGAUAGCGCAUAGUACCGUGAGGGAAAGGUGAAAAGAACCCCUGGCGGGGAGUGAAAGAGAACCUGAAACCGUAUGUCUACAAACAGUCGAAGUCUGUAUAUAUAUCAGGACGACGGCGUGCCUAUUGAAGAAUGAACCGACGAGUUACUGUUGCUAGCGAGGUUAAGUGGAAAACAUGGAGCCGCAGCGAAAGCGAGUCUGAACAGGGCGUUCAGUUAGUAAUAGUAGACCCGAAACCGUAGUGAUCUAUCCAUGGCCAGGUUGAAGCACAGGUAAAAUUGUGUGGAGGACCGAACUCGUGAGCGUUGAAAAGCUUUGGGAUGAGUUGUGGAUAGGGGUGAAAUGCCAAUCGAACACGGAGAUAGCUGGUUCUCCCCGAAAUAGCUUUAGGGCUAGCCUCGAGGUAGAGAGUAUAGGCGGUAGAGCACUGAUCGGGCUAGGGGCCAUACCGGUUACCGAACCUAGUCAAACUACGAAUGGCUAUACUUAUACUCGGGAGUCAGACAGUGAAUGAUAAGGUCCAUUGUCAAGAGGGAAACAGCCCAGAACACCGACUAAGGUCCCCAAUGUUACACUAAGUGGCGAAGGAUGUGGAAUUUCCAAAACAACCAGGAUGUUGGCUUAGAAGCAGCCACCAUUUAAAGAGUGCGUAAUAGCUCACUGGUCGAGAGACUCUGCGCCGAAAAUGUCCGGGGCUAAAGUGUAAAACCGAAGUCGUGUCAUAUGCAGCAAUGUAUAUGGGUAGGGGAGCGUUCUCAUCGGGCUGAAGCAGUACCGUAAGGAGUUGUGGACUGAUGAGAAGUGAGAAUGUCGGUAUGAGUAGCGAAAAGAAUGGUGAGAAUCCAUUCCACCGAAAGCCUAAGGGUUCCUGAGCAACGAUCGUCGUCUCAGGGUAAGUCGGGACCUAAGCCGAGGCGGAAUAGCGUAGGCGAUGGACAACAGGUUGAAAUUCCUGUACCGGUGUGAAUCGUUUGAUCGAUGGAGUGACACAGUAAGGUAGGUCAGCACGCGAUUGGAAGAGCGUGUUUAAGCAGGUAGGUUGAGCUAUAGGCAAAUCCGUAGCUCUAAAAGCUGAGAUGUGAUGACGAGCGACUAGCAAUAGUCGCGAAGUGAUUGAUCCUACACUGUCGAGAAAAGCUUCUAGGUAGAGACACAUCGCCCGUACCAAAACCGACACAGGUAGGCGGGGAGAGAAUCCUAAGGUGCGCGGGAAAACCCUCGUUAAGGAACUCGGCAAAAUGCCUCCGUAACUUCGGGAAAAGGAGGACUCAUGUAGUGUGAAGAGCAGAAGCGCUUGGAGCAUGAAUGAGUGGCACAAGAGAGGCGCAAGCGACUGUUUACCACAAACACAGGUGCCUGCUAAAGCGAAAGCUGAUGUAUAGGUGCUGACACCUGCCCGGUGCUGGAAGGUUAAGAGGAGGGGUUAGACUUCGGUCGAAGCUCUGAAUUGAAGCCCCAGUAAACGGCGGCCGUAACUAUAACGGUCCUAAGGUAGCGAAAUUCCUUGUCGGGU
This 1987-nucleotide ribosomal RNA is filed under the name human metagenome. Its description in RNAcentral is "bacterial LSU rRNA". It matches the Rfam family "Bacterial large subunit ribosomal RNA", at positions 1 to 1977 of the family's 2925-position model. The record is from RNAcentral.